This 1505-nucleotide long non-coding RNA is filed under the name Betta splendens (Siamese fighting fish). RNAcentral's name for it is "lncRNA (ENSBSLG00000012927.1)". The record is from RNAcentral. Lineage: Eukaryota; Metazoa; Chordata; Actinopteri; Anabantiformes; Osphronemidae.
UCAUGUUCAUAUGUAUUGAUAAUUAACUUAGUUAAUUAAAGUAUUGAAUAAAGUCUGAGCCUUCAUAGACAGUUAUGAUUAUCAAAACUAAGUAGUGCAUGAAAUAAGUAUCAAGAUGUAAAACCGAGGAGAGUGCAAAUGCUUCUGCUGAUGAGUUCAGGUGUUCAGAGGGCACAAGGAAACAAGCUGUAGGGCUCUCUUCUGGAUGGGAGUCAUUUUCCCGCAGGACGAACGCUGCAUCCGAUGGUUUGCACGUGGGGUCGACACUCCACUCGACUCUGGAGGACGACGGCUGAGGAGGGUCCAGAGUCGUCGGCUGCAGCCUCGCUCAGCGCCUCGCUCAGCGCCUCGUCACCGCGCCGUGUUUGUUGCCCGGCUGUUUGCACGCCUCCGCGGGUCAGAGACGGCGUGGGCUGACGGAUGUGUUGCAGGAGGCGCUCUGUGGUCAACAAAGAACAAAGGCGUCACACGCCCAAAGGAUCCCGGGAGACGGGCCGACAGGUGAGGGGUCGGCUCAACGCUCGGCUCUCGACAGGGAGCGACGGGAAAAGGAGGGCGGGACGUCCUCGGUUUGGUGCGCAGACCGGAACAACAUGGAGCCCAGACCCAUGGAGAACCUGUGAUGCUCCGUAACGAGCCCGAGUUUCUAUUCCCUAUGUUCUCAGGAGGCCUUAACUAAGCAAAAACAGAUUUAGGGGGAUUAAAGAGGACCUUUGCACAGACCGCUGGAUCGAAGCAUUAGUUUCAUGGUCUGGAGAGGAGAAAUGAUGCCAGUCAUCAGUCAGGCUGGAUGUAAGCAAGUCAUCCUUAACCCGUUUAUCCUCAUUGUUCACUAUAAUGAUGACAAACGGGCCACAGGCUAAAAAUAACACUGAGUGAUGCAUUGUAGUGGUUCUGAACGGACGAAGGCUCGGGACAUGUGUAGUAUGAUAUGUUGUCAUGACCAGGUUCAUUUACAGGUUGCAAUGAGACGCAUGGACGUAUGUAUGGAGACGUCUGAAGAGGAGAAACUAAAACCUGGAGCUUUGAUUAUCAGCCCCUUGUGAAAUCGACACAUCCUCUGAAAUUGCUGCAUGACUCUACAUGCAUGACCAUCAUUUGUUCUUCCAGGACAGUUGUUCAGAGACAUAAAUUAAUAAGUAUUGUUACAGUAGAAAUGAGUUUUCUAUCUGUGAUGAGAGUGAAAUGAAACCCAGAGGAAGGCGUUCGGUUCAUUCUUAGCUUCGGCGCUAAACAGUCACACGCUCACGUUUAUUUCCUCCGGGUUUUAUUUCACUCUCGUCUCAAAUAGAAACAUUUUUUGGCUUAUCUGUAUUUAAUGAGGCUUUUGUGAGAGGAUGUGUGAGAACCGGCCUCCAGGGAAGGCUUUGGAACACUCGGUGUCCGUCCUCGUCCCGCGUGAGGAGCGCCCCCGCACAGUUCGUGCUCGCAGGUCACGUAGCCUGAAGGACGUUAAAGCAAACAGAAGCACGCUGGCAGGAAAUCUGUACAGAUGGAUAGAAGGA